Long non-coding RNA from Homo sapiens (human), 203 nucleotides. Lineage: Eukaryota; Metazoa; Chordata; Mammalia; Primates; Hominidae. The record is from Ensembl.
AGCUGUCCUCAAGGAGCUGGAGUCGCUUGGUGGAGUUUCAGCCUCUGGGUGCCCUGGCUUGCCCUUGGCGAGGUGGUCCUGGAAGUGAAGUGACCAGGACUGGGAAAUGGCAAAGAUCGAAGAGGGGAGGCAGAGACUGGAGAAGCUAAACCAAGCAACAGCCUGAGACUAAGUGCCAAGUGUGUAAAUACAUUCUGGCCAAA